ACUUUAUCAUACAACUUUCUAAAGAAAUCUAGCCAAGUUGUUAUAGAACUACAGAAAGUUCCAUAGGAAAAAUGAUUUCCAUAGGUGUUGAGUCAGUCACAGAAUUAACUGAUUUCCCUCUCUUUAUUCGUUUGGUUGUUUCCGGUUUACUUGAAUGGUCUUCUUUUAUUUUGCAAUCAUUUUCCUUUGGGUGAUUUUGGGCUUUUUUUUUUUCUUUUAUAAUUUUCUCUGGAUUUUUGAGAUUCGAUUUUUUGGGUUGACAGAUGUUCAGUAUGUAGCCUCUAAAUCUGUUUUGUAGUUGUCUCUCCCACUUUAUUUCUUUUCUCAACGAAGAAUUGGAAGGAGAUGGUGAGUAGGUUGCUUUUUCCUUCUCCUCACCAAGGAAGGUGCUUACAUGAGUUGCACAAUAGCAUUAGAGUAGAACCCCUUGAUGUGAAACAUAGUGCUAUUCCCACAUCAUCUAUAGCAGAACCUCUUUUUGAAUCAAGAAGAUCUCUAGGACAGGACGUCUCACCUGUUAUAGAGUCCAUCCCAUUGCAUGUAUCUCAGGUGGUUAUUGUGACCAGUCCACCAAGUCAAAGUCCCAGGUUUUUAGGUAGUUACUCAGGUGUCUGUACUGUGGAACCUAAUACAGCCCCUCUACCAAUGAGAGGAUAAGAGCCCCUAUGGUCAGUUUUCAAUACCACUGAAAGAGAAGUGGUAGACAUUGAGAGUAAUGUUUUUCCAUACUACAUUGGCGAACAUUGGUUAGUCCCUUGGAGGUGAAGCAACUAAUGAAAUAAAAUAAAACGUUCUUCUAAUCAGCUUCGACCAGAGCAGCUGAGUGUUAAUGGAUUUCCUUUUAAUCCUGAUAAGGCAGAGAAACUUUUGGGUGCCCUUUACUACCUCAGAAGUUGAACCUGGAAGCUAUUGCUAUGACAAUGCAUUUGAAUUUUUGGGAAAGGAAUGAGAGAUAUCAGAUAGAAUUGUGAGUUCAAACCUGAAGUUUACUGGGAAACUUUGUCCUUAUGCAAGCAACGGAACCACACAGGAUUAAUGUCUCUUUUAGUGCUGAAGGAAUCAAAGAAUUGAUACCACCAUAAAAAUUCGAAGAAUUGCACACUAUUUUUUGAGAAUGCAAUCUAGUUAAUGGCAAAGAU
This is a long non-coding RNA of Capsicum annuum, 1139 nucleotides long. RefSeq lists it as uncharacterized. The record is from RefSeq and is a predicted model, not a curated record. The transcript has 3 exons. Lineage: Eukaryota; Viridiplantae; Streptophyta; Magnoliopsida; Solanales; Solanaceae.